AUUGAACGCUGGCGGCAUGCCUUACACAUGCAAGUCGAACGGUAACGGGCCUUCGGGUGCCGACGAGUGGCGCACGGGUGAGUAACACGUAAGUAAUCUACCUUCGAGUGGGGAAUAACGUCCGGAAACGGACGCUAAUACCGCAUAAUGCAGCGGCAUCGUAAGAUGACAGUUGUUAAAGAUUUAUCGCUUGAAGAGGAGCUUGCGGCAGAUUAGCUAGUUGGUAAGGUAAUGGCUUACCAAGGCUACGAUCUGUAACCGGUCUUAGAGGACGGUCGGUCACACUGACACUGAAUAACGGGUCAGACUCCUACGGGAGGCAGCAGUCGGGAAUUUUGGGCAAUGGGCGAAAGCCUGACCCAGCAACGCCGCGUGAAGGAUGAAGUAUUUCGGUAUGUAAACUUCGAAAGAAUAGGAAGAAUAAAUGACGGUACUAUUUAUAAGGUCCGGCUAACUACGUG
RNAcentral lists this ribosomal RNA (461 nucleotides) under uncultured bacterium. RNAcentral's name for it is "bacterial SSU rRNA". It matches the Rfam family "Bacterial small subunit ribosomal RNA", at positions 30 to 507 of the family's 1533-position model. The record is from RNAcentral.